Molecule: unclassified non-coding RNA, 21 nt
Filed under: Chlamydomonas reinhardtii
Lineage: Eukaryota; Viridiplantae; Chlorophyta; Chlorophyceae; Chlamydomonadales; Chlamydomonadaceae
Description: small RNA Cre_0957
Source: RNAcentral
CAGUGGUUGAAAUGAGUGCAU